Molecule: ribosomal RNA, 368 nt
Filed under: Mystus cavasius (Gangetic mystus)
Lineage: Eukaryota; Metazoa; Chordata; Actinopteri; Siluriformes; Bagridae
Description: partial small subunit ribosomal RNA
Rfam family: Bacterial small subunit ribosomal RNA
Source: RNAcentral
UUACACACACAUCCGCCUGGGUACUACGAGCACAGCUUAAAACCCAAAGGACUUGGCGGUGUCUCAGACCCACCUAGAGGAGCCUGUUCUAGAACCGAUAACCCCCGUUAAACCUCACCACUUCUUGUUUUCCCCGCCUAUAUACCGCCGUCGUCAGCUUACCCUGUGAAGGUUUAAUAGUAAGCAAAAUGGGCCCGCCCAAAAACGUCAGGUCGAGGUGUAGCGUACGAAGGGGAAAGAAAUGGGCUACAUUUUCUAUAUACAGAAUAUUACGGACGAUGCAUUGAAAUCAUGCACCCGAAGUGGGAUUUAGUAGUAAAAAGCAAACAGAGUGUCCCUUUGAACUAGGCUCUGAGACGCGCACACAC